Molecule: long non-coding RNA, 845 nt
Filed under: Homo sapiens (human)
Lineage: Eukaryota; Metazoa; Chordata; Mammalia; Primates; Hominidae
Description: non-protein coding lnc-CRYBA4-52:24
Source: RNAcentral
GCACCGGCCAGCUAGCCCCUUUGUGCGGCGGGGGCUGCGGAGUGCUCCCUCCAAGACCGGUUGCACCCCGCUUUCCUGGCCAGGACUCUGGGCGCGGUUGGAGGCAUCUGUCCACCCAUGUGGUUCCAGACACGUUCAUGUGGCCACCAUGACCCCGUCGGCAUCACAGGGGUAACCAAGAGAGCAGCAAGUUCCUGGGACAGAGGAGACAGAAGGGAAUUUCCAGGUUCUUCAGGACGUUCACAACCACACUGAGAAGCAUCUUUGCAGAUAAGUAUUUAAACUUACCAGCCCAUAGCCUACCAGCCUGCCCUCUUCUGGUCUGUGCAGGAAAGUGUAGUAUCCUAGAAUGCCAAAGUGGGAGGGGAAAUGGGUGAUGUAGCUCAUUCUCUUUUCUACCUCUAUGGAAGAAAGAAAGAGCCUGUCCCCAUUUUGUGGGGUCCCAGAAAGGGUGAUUUUCACACUUCACAUUUGGCGUUAGGGCUAGUAUUUCACAAACAUUACCGUCUGGAACUUUUGAAGGCUGAGUUAAAUGACUUCAUCUUGUGUACUUGUAGAACUGCUAUUAGAAGGAGGCUGGGGACUCCCUGAUGAUGUGAACCAGCCCUUCUCUUCUCAGUUUCAGCACUUUGUGAUCAUAUUUAUAAACCUUGGACAGGGCUCCUUGGCCUUAGAGUUAAGUGAAGAGUUAACACUGUGACUUUAGAUGCAUUUUUCUCAGUGUAAGUGUCUGAGCUCAUCUCCAGUUCUGGACUCGUGCCCCCACUCCCGGGUGCUGACAGCAAGCUCUGAAGAUAUGCUGAGAGAGCUCCCUGACUCUCCUGACUCAGGUCUGCCAGUUGAUG